This 3971-nucleotide unclassified non-coding RNA is filed under the name Hevea brasiliensis (rubber tree). The record is from RNAcentral. Lineage: Eukaryota; Viridiplantae; Streptophyta; Magnoliopsida; Malpighiales; Euphorbiaceae.
AAUAAACUCAGCCUUUACUCUAAGAGGGACAGGCCCACGGAAUAAAUUUAGAAAACAAUAAGUGAAGAGAAAUGAAGGGAAUCACAGAGAGAAAUAGCAUUGCAAUUUCUUAUUCAUGAAUUAAGAUUUCGUAGCAAUUAAAAUAUUACCGAAUCAAGUAUUUGAUAUCAUCCAGUAUCCAUAAAAAAUGCCAAGCAAAGGAGAAAUAUUUACUUAGGGGUUCAACUAAGAUGUGCAAUGUCAACCCCAUCGGGGAUCCUAAAUGUGUCGGCUGCGCCAAAUUUCUUCCGCCCUUCGCCAUGUUCAGAUUCAUCUUCAUCACUAUCAUCAUCUCCAUCGUCAUGAUUGCUUGUUGUCAAGGGAUCAUUAAUACUUUUAGACCUGCAAUCAUGGGUCGCAAGCAUAUUUACUUGGCCAAGGUGAGAGAUUUCAACAACUACCGUAUCAUCUUCUUCAGGUAGGGGUUGCUUCCAGGGUUCCCCAUCAAUCCUCAUAAAUGUAUGGUUGGCAGCACCUUUGUGGAACUCAAAACGGAUUCUGUGUGCCUAGUGCCAAAGAAGGCCAUAAAUCAAGUAAAUAUUAUUAUUAAUCCUGCACUUUGUAUAUAAUGUCAUUUACAUUUGUUUAUAUCAAUUAAAUAAUAUCAACCAACAGAUGGCAUCAUCCACUUGGAUAUAAAACCAAGGAUGGUAAGCAGCCUCCACAUUACAUGAUCCUUUUAUCAUGAAUUAUAUACAUUGAUUUUCCUGUUUACAUUAGUGAAUUUAUGACAACGCUUAAUAUCAUUAAAUAAGUGAUAGUUUCAAAAAUAUAACACGUGAUUUAGUAUAUUAUAACUUAAUGGACAACUUUCAAUUUCAUCAAAUUGUUAUCCUAUAAUUUAGCGCCAUUACAAUGUCCUUGGAUCUGGUAACUGAAUGCUAACGUGUCAACAUUUCCUUCAAGGAUCCAAGACAUGGCGCUAAAACCAUAAGGUAUCAAUUUGAAGAAAAUAAAAAAUAGAAAUUGUUCCUUAAGAAAAAAUGCAGUAAACUACGGGGUACAUUUUUUAAAUUAUCCCAAACUUUAAUUUGGAAUUUGGAUUCCCACAGUUUUGUUUCUUACUUGUGCAAGACGAGUCCCAUGUCCAUUUGGAGCAAGCAAAACAAGCCCAUGCCAAGCAUCUCUAAAACCAACAACUUCAAGAAGCCCAUCAUCUACAUAUGGUGGAGUCAAGUCUCUAUCGCGUUGUUUCUUGCUAUUUGGUGUUCCCCAAGGGCUCAGUCCACCGGAAAAACUGGGCAAGUUAAGGCAUACAAUUGACCUAAUGCUGUGGGGUAUAUGGAGAUCUUGCCAUUGACCAUGUCUUUUCAUGACUUUAACCUUAGCAAGCUGAGCUAUGUUCCUGUAAUACAAAAAGAAAAUGUCAUUGCAUUAUAAUACAUAGAGACACAGGAAAAAAAAAUAACAAGCAAAAUUAUCUGUCAUAGGACCUGACCAAGUCUAUAAACUCUAGAACAUUGAAAAACAUUCCUCCAUGUCUGCUCCUAACUAUUUCAAAGAGAUAAGCUUAAAACAAUAUUACAUGAACCAGUACUAUAUUAGAUAAAAUUUCUCUAGUUUUCUCCUUCUCUUAUCAAUAAAAGUGAAUCAUAAAGGAGAAGUAAAAUGGGGACAAAAACGUAAUAGGAUUAUUAUUCAUAAAUGCUUAAAUAUAAAGCUUAAGGCAGUAAGCCGCUAUUAUUAUUGCAGCAAAAUUUUACAAUAGCUGUUGGUAGUUUGGUACUCUUAUGUGUAGAGAAUAAUAUAACAAUGUAGCAUAAAAUGACCACUUGAAGUAAAAGACUUGAGACUUUGCAGAGUCCCGCAACUGUGUACACAGAAAGGAGAUUACUGUUUGCAGCAUUUCACUCAUGCACGAGUAAUAAUUAAUGCAUAAGAAAAGACAGGAAAAAAUCAGUGCAGGUUCAAACUCCACAUAACCAAAAUCAGUCAGAUGCAAAAAUGCUAAAAAUUGAAAACAUGCUGAAAAACUUAGUAGUAGUCAUGUUGAUGGUCAAUCAGGCAGCAAACAUUCAUCUCAACAGUGAGUUACAGAAAAUUGCCAAACAAAGCAAAGAUGAAAAGCAUGAUAAGAUUCUUCUAUAGAUAUGAAAAUUUUGAAAUGGAAUGGAACAUUUUAUAGCAGAAAAAACUGUUAGAAGAUAGCAAAAAAGCAGAGUAACUCAAUCUAAGAAGCAAUCUGUUUACACUCACUUUGACGUAGGAUGAAAAAGAGAAGCAAAAAACCACCCUUGUGUACAUCCAAGCUUUGCAUAAGUACUCUGGUUUGCAAGAGCCAAUAAAUAAAUAAAUAAAUAAAGAAGAUGAGGAAUUUGAAAUAUUUUACAGAGAGAAAUGAAAUGAACCAAACCCCAUUAAUCUCCUUUUGAGAUUAAAGCUUUUGAGAAUUUCUCUCAAUUCCAUUAUCCAUAGCUCUUAGCUACUGUUACUAACUAUUUGCCCUUCCUACACUUGACGUUGAAAUAAAACUAAAUCCCACUAGUUUAGAACUGUUUUUUGUUACAGUUUUGUUCUUGUUGAUGAUGGGAUGAUGAUGACGGUGAUUAAAUCUAUGAGGAUUCUAAGAUGAGAUUGGUUGUCUCUGCAAUGGAGAGAGUGUGACUGUGCUCUCCUUCGUAGGUGACAACGAGCAUUGAUGGAUCGUCUAAAGCUCGCUCCACAUGCUUACGUGCUGGGCAACCUCUGACGCUACUGCACUUGUAGUAGCCUCUGUUUAACACAAACAUAUAUCAAGAACAGCAUAUUAAUCAAGGGAUCAGUAGUCCUAAUUGGUUAAUUAUUAUUUUGAAAUAGCAAUUAAUGCAUCAUAAUUAAUAUACAGAAACUAAGCUAAGCAACAGUAGAUAAAAAUAAGAGAAAUCUAUGACCAGACUAAUUCUUGAGAAGCAUGUAUGUAGGUAUAUAUACCUAGGAUGUGGAGACCCUUUAAUGGGUUUUUGUCCAUAUUUUCUCCAGGAGUAAUCAUCUGGUGGAAUAUCAGCCAUCUUCAGGCUAAUUGCUGGAACCCUCACCACUCUCCUCAGUCUCAACUUUCUCUUCUUAGAGCAAUGGCACCGACCAGACGAUCCACUGCACUUGCCAGAACCCAGAUUUUCAGAGCUACACUUCCUCUUCAAGGAAGAUGAAGAAAGGGGAGGCUUUCCAGCUGAUGAAACCUGAGACAGAUUGGUAAUCUGAAUCUGAAACGCUGAUGAAGACGAUAGCUGUUUACUAUCUGUCGCAUCACCCGUCAAGGAAGACGCAAAGGAGUUCCCAGCUGAGGGAUAAGAAAAAUUGAUGGUGGUAGACGAUUCUUUCUUAUCACUAAUCACCCCAUUAUUCUUUGGCAUCACCGCCAUAGAAGAAAAAUCAUGGUAAUAAUGAUUAGGAACCGGAGGAGGAGGAGGAAUCUGCUGGAUCGGCGUAGCAUAAUAAACCUUACUGUCAAGAACUUGAUUUUCUUGGCUAAUUUGGCUGUGGCUCAGAGGAGUAGCCACAGGAGCUCUUCUAAAGCGAGCAUGGCCAGUUCUGGUUCGACCCAGAAGAGAAAUAACUUUCUUGAAUUUAGAAACGGCAACAUCUGCAGCUGCCUUGCAAUCCAUGUCUAUAUCCAUUGAAGAUCUUGAGGUCGAAGAAGGUGAUGAUGAAGAUUGAAGCUUUUCUUGAUUUUGCUGCGAGAGCAAUCUGAUGAGCUUGUUGACACUCUCGAGACCUGAAGCAGCCUCUUGGACUGCGUUCUCUUCCAAUUUAGUAACAAAACCAUCGUUCCUAAAAGCCAUCAUGAGGUCUACAGCCAUGACUACUGAAACAAGACCAUGAAAGAAAGAGAGAAACAAAACAAAAGAGUAGAAAAAGAAGAAAUUAAAGUCGGUGAAAAGAAAACGAAGAGGGAUGGGGUGUUGAUAAAGGGUAAAGGGAAGGGUCGUCCCUUCCCUUACGGUCUGGUCAAA